AGGGGGAGGCCGGAUCUUGGGCUGUGUCCCAGCACCCUGUGCUCCGGAGCCUGCACUGUUGGAUUCGCACUCCCGGCAGCACAGCCGCCU
Molecule: microRNA precursor, 90 nt
Filed under: Canis lupus dingo (dingo)
Lineage: Eukaryota; Metazoa; Chordata; Mammalia; Carnivora; Canidae
Description: mir-8799 microRNA precursor family
Rfam family: mir-8799 microRNA precursor family
Source: Rfam by way of RNAcentral